This 451-nucleotide ribosomal RNA is filed under the name uncultured bacterium. RNAcentral's name for it is "partial 16S ribosomal RNA". It matches the Rfam family "Bacterial small subunit ribosomal RNA", at positions 29 to 523 of the family's 1533-position model. The record is from RNAcentral.
AGCGAACGCUGGCGGCAUGCUUAACACAUGCAAGUCGCACGAACCUUUCGGGGUUAGUGGCGGACGGGUGAGUAACGCGUAGGAAUCUAUCCACGGGUGGGGGAUAACUCUGGGAAACUGGAGCUAAUACCGCAUGAUACCUGAGGGUCAAAGGCGCAAGUCGCCUGUGGAGGAGCAUGCGUUCGAUUAGCUAGUUGGUGGGGUAAAGGCCUACCAAGGCGAUGAUCGAUAGCUGGUUUGAGAGGAUGAUCAGCCACACGGGGACUGAGACACGGCCCAGAAUCCUACGAGAGGCAGCAGUGGGGAAUAUUGGACAAUGGGGGCAACCCUGAUCCAGCAAUGCCGCGUGUGUGAAGAAGGUCUUCGGAUUGUAAAGCACUUUCGACGGGGACGAUGAUGACGGUACCCGUAGAAGAAGCCCCGGCUAACUUCGUGCCAGCCGCCGCGGUAA